Coccinella septempunctata (seven-spotted ladybird) is the source of this 2377-nucleotide long non-coding RNA. RefSeq lists it as uncharacterized. NCBI's taxonomy places the organism in Eukaryota, Metazoa, Arthropoda, Insecta, Coleoptera, Coccinellidae. The record is from RefSeq and is a predicted model, not a curated record. The transcript is spliced from 2 exons.
UUAUAUUUUAUUUCACGCUUUUCAAGUGAGUGAAUCGAUUUUUGAAGGAAUCACAUUGAUUUAUGUUAUAAUCGAUAAAUCCAAAGUUGCAUUUUUCUUAUUCUCGGUUUCUUUUGUUACAGAUAACGAAAAUGUGACAAUUUUUGUUAGAGAGCCAACUACGGCUCGAUCAUAUGGAGAACACCAACACAAACUUUAGCACGAACACCCAAACUGAAUGGAUAAAAGUGACAGAAUAAGUGGUGAAAACAGAUAUGGGAAAAGACAAAAUAUUGACUGAAAGUCACGUGUGGCUCGUAUGUUUAACCUUUAAAGUAUAGCUCUGCCUAUCGGAAGACAUGAAAUGAAACAAAUGAAGAUUUGCAAAACAAUGCAACUGUAGUUGUUGUUUUUGGAGGAGCUUGCUAUGGGGAGAAUAAACAAAGUAAAACAUCAAGAUGAAAUACACGCAUUUCUCUUUGAGACCCUGGAACUGUAUGAAAUCAACGGUCAAAGAAGAUUGUGUCAAGAAUAUCCAUAGGAUGUUGAUAUCUUAUUUCCAUUAAGGUUACAUGGGACGAAAUGGAAAUAACGUUUGAAUUUUCAUGAUGAAGACCAAUCACAAUCAUGCAGCAGUCAUAUGUCAGAGAGUGACUGCUAUAUUUCCACAACUCAAGAAGAAGAUGGGAAGUUCAUGAAGGACAUCGGAAGAUAAUUCAGAAAGGUUACCUUUUAAAACCAUUUUUUUUUGAGCUAUGCUCUGUUAAAUGUCUUUGGUAUAAAGAUUAAUAGAAACUCUGAUUUUUCAACUACGAUUUAAAAGUUGGCUUAGGCUCUCAAUGUUUUUACGAUCAACAAAAAUCGAAUAGGAAAUUGUAUUAGUUUAGGGCCAAAUUGUUGAGUUCAUUCCAUAAAUUCAUCGAAUAAAUAUACCUAUAUUAUGUCUAAAGCGGGGACUAGUUCAUGAAAAAUUCUAAUUUCAAACUCAUUUAAAUAAUUCAGGCAGCUUGAAAAUGAAAUGUCAACUUUUAUUGUUUCAUGAUAAAUUUAAUUUACCUCUUGACGUCCUUUUUUAAACUGUGUAACUUUAUAACCCUUUAAGGGUAGUUUUUAGCAAAUUUCACUUGAAAUAAUGGAAUGAGCACUACAAGAUUUAAAAACAAGCAUCUGUGAUAAGGUAGCGGGCAGGCCUGCUGGUACGGUCCUGGUGCGAGCAGCGCCGGCUUCAGGUACGCGAACCUGCCUACGCGAGCCGCGUUUUUCCAAAAAUUCCCUUCUUUGCGAAGAACGCGUCCACAUCCUUCAUCUCCUCUCUCUAAACUCCCACCCUUCAAUCCCCAUGGGGUGGGAUCUUCGGAGAAGUCACUCUUCCUCCCUGAGUCCGGGCUAGAUCUCGGAGGAGUGAUUUUUCAAAGGUAACACCCCGGUGCAUCCAUGACCUGCAGUUGUCAUCUUCGACCAUCAAAAUUCCCAUUAGGCCCCUAGGACGUGGAUGCUCUGCUGAAGAUUAGUAGCAUUCCAUCCACGUUGUCAAAAUUCGUUUGUUUAGGAACCCCAGGAGAUUGACAACUGAUCGACAGGUCCUUGAUGCACGUAUAUACAACUAAUCUACCUCAUAAACUCGGGAUAUUGCCGUGGAUGCGGAGAAAACAGGCUUUACGCUCUCCUGGAUGGCUACCUGCUUUUCUUAGCAUUCAUGAAGCAAUCUCUCGAGCCAAAAAAAAAGAUUAUGAAGUGCAUUCUCAUUGGCGUAGCUUCUAGUGAGUUUUGCACUGUUCCCCAUCCCCUAGCUGCGCCUCUGUUCAUUCAAAACGGGUACUGUGGGGGGAAAAUGCGUCGAAAACGGAUUUUUCCUCCACCUUAGUUUGUAAGUAGGCAAAUUGAUUGGGUCGGGAAUCCGAUAAACCGUCCCGAGUCUUCAUAAGAAAAUCCAAAAGAUUGAAAAGAGGAAGUUCCAUCCGUUCGAAACAGUGUGCCAGGAUCCCGCGCGGCGGAGAACGUUAUCUUUCGGCAACUUUUUUUUUUCAAAAUUUAGGACAAUGCAUUUUUUUUAUUUUCUCUCUUGCUAUUCGGUCGAACCAGGUCAUGCUAAAAGAACCUGGACGCGUUGGAACUCCCUCCUGUCAUUUGGAUACCAUUAUUUUCGGCCCCUAGAAAACUUUAGUUUCCUGUUUAUUUUUAGAAACCAUCAAAAUUUUCGGUUCGGUGCGAAUUUAUCGGAUUAUUGACCCAGUUACAUUUUAGUAUUAGGAAUCCUAGGUGUAAGUAGUAUUUUUCAAUUUUAGAAUAAGAUAGGUUUAAGACUAAUAUCACAGAUACACAGCCCAUACAUCGCUUUGGCAAAAUUAUGUAAAUAAUUUGAUGUACUUCAUAAUUUUCCAUAAUAAAAGAACAAUAA